AAUUAUUUUUGUUCAUUUGACCAAAAAUUCACUCAAUUCUUUUUGUUUCAAAAAAAUAAUAACAUAUAUAUAUUUUAAAUAAAUUUAAAUAUUUAUUAUUUUAUAAUUAUUUUUAUAAAUUUUAACUUUUCUAAUCAAAAUAUUAUUUUAACUAAAAAUAAUUUGUUGCUUAUAUUUUUAGAUUUUUAAUAUAUUUUAAAAAAAAUUAAAAAAAAAA
This 217-nucleotide long non-coding RNA is filed under the name Ananas comosus (pineapple). Its description in RNAcentral is "long non-coding RNA (ACOM_LNC007079)". Lineage: Eukaryota; Viridiplantae; Streptophyta; Magnoliopsida; Poales; Bromeliaceae. The record is from RNAcentral.